RNAcentral lists this ribosomal RNA (253 nucleotides) under uncultured bacterium. RNAcentral describes it as "partial 16S ribosomal RNA". It matches the Rfam family "Bacterial small subunit ribosomal RNA", at positions 524 to 776 of the family's 1533-position model. The record is from RNAcentral.
UACGUAGGGUGCGAGCGUUGUCCGGAAUUAUUGGGCGUAAAGAGCUCGUAGGCGGUUUGUUGCGUCGGCCGUGAAAACCUGCAGCUUAACUGUGGGCCUGCGGCCGAUACGGGCAGACUUGAGUUCGGUAGGGGAGACUGGAAUUCCUGGUGUAGCGGUGAAAUGCGCAGAUAUCAGGAGGAACACCGGUGGCGAAGGCGGGUCUCUGGGCCGAUACUGACGCUGAGGAGCGAAAGCGUGGGGAGCGAACAGG